This 579-nucleotide ribosomal RNA is filed under the name Ingerophrynus divergens. RNAcentral's name for it is "partial small subunit ribosomal RNA". It matches the Rfam family "Bacterial large subunit ribosomal RNA", at positions 1812 to 2606 of the family's 2925-position model. Lineage: Eukaryota; Metazoa; Chordata; Amphibia; Anura; Bufonidae. The record is from RNAcentral.
AACAUCGCCUCUUGAAUCUUUAUAAGAGGUCCAGCCUGCCCAGUGACUCUGUUCAACGGCCGCGGUAUCCUAACCGUGCGAAGGUAGCGUAAUCACUUGUUCUUUAAAUGAGGACUAGUAUGAACGGCACCACGAGGGUUAUGCUGUCUCCCUUUUCUAAUCAGUUAAACUAAUCUCCCCGUGAAGAAGCGAGGAUAAGCAUAUAAGACGAGAAGACCCUAUGGAGCUUUAAACAAUAUAGCAUUUAUCAUAAAAAUCCUAACUUGCGAGUCCGCUCUACAACAGAUUAUCUGACUAUAAGUUUUUGGUUGGGGUGACCGCGGAACAUAACAUAACCUCCACGUUGCAAGAAUUUACUUCUAAACUAAGAACCACAGCCCUAAGAAUCAAUACCUUGACAUCAAUUGACCCAAUACAUUUGAUCAACGAACCAAGUUACCCUAGGGAUAACAGCGCAAUCCACUUCAAGAGCCCCUAUCGACAAGUGGGUUUACGACCUCGAUGUUGGAUCAGGGUUUCCCAGUGGUGCAGCCGCUACUAAAGGUUCGUUUGUUCAACGAUUAAAACCCUACGUGAUCU